RNAcentral lists this long non-coding RNA (664 nucleotides) under Equus caballus (horse). RNAcentral describes it as "lncRNA (ENSECAG00000052621.1)". Lineage: Eukaryota; Metazoa; Chordata; Mammalia; Perissodactyla; Equidae. The record is from RNAcentral.
AUCAUUGUCAACAUUGGAAAUUGUCAUCUUUUAAAAAAUGUCUGUCAGUUCAAUAAGCAACAUAUAGAUUAAUUUAAAUUAACCUAAUAAUUUAAUUAUUGAGUUUGGCAUGUUUCCAUGAUGUCUUUUGCCAUUUCUAAUUCUAUUUAAUUUCCUAUCAUCUGCCAAACACUGGGCUAGGUAAUUUACAUAUGUUAUUUCUUUCAAUCCUCACAAAUUCAUCAUCUUUUGUUUUGUGGAUGAGGAAACUACAACUCAGAGAUGUUAAGUGACUUGCUCAAGAUCACACGACUGAGAGCUUUCAGGAAACCAUCUGUUCCUGUGAUGAAAGCUUGCCUCGGGAAUUACAACGACCCAGGUUUAAAGUUGGACUUUGCCACUUUCCAGCGACUUGAUACCCAAGGUGACAAGGCUUAAAUGCCAUCCUCUGUGAAAAAUACCAGCCAUUUAAAAAAAGAAGAGGAAAGAAACACGGAGUGCUAUCUCAGUCCUGAAGCCAAGAAGGAAAAGUGCACUGUGUGAAAAACAUAAAACAGAGCUGUUCGUGACACCUAAAGGCCAGACAAGGCUGAAAGACCACCCAGUGUCAGCCCAGGAAGAAAGAACUGAGGAAGCUAAAAGCCCAAACCCCGGGGAGUAUCAACAUGCCAAACACAAUUUGGGG